Molecule: unclassified non-coding RNA, 265 nt
Filed under: Hevea brasiliensis (rubber tree)
Lineage: Eukaryota; Viridiplantae; Streptophyta; Magnoliopsida; Malpighiales; Euphorbiaceae
Source: RNAcentral
AAAGAGGAAAUGUCAAGAGAACAGGUUGCAUACCUUGAACUCUUGAACAAGUAUAAGACUUGCUAUUUUUAUUGAGUGAUAUUAGUGGGUUAUGAUAAAAUUUGUUUUAGUAGGAAUGCGAACAACCAGAAGAUAGUAGUAGCCAUGGUUUUUGAAUUCUAAACCAAGGCUUGUAGCUCCGUGGCAUUGCAUUUUGUGUAAUGGUUUUGUGGUUUGAAGGUUGCUUUGUAGUCUCCUACUAGACCCUUAUUAAGUACUUAUCCAU